RNAcentral lists this ribosomal RNA (388 nucleotides) under uncultured bacterium. RNAcentral describes it as "bacterial SSU rRNA". It matches the Rfam family "Bacterial small subunit ribosomal RNA", at positions 28 to 416 of the family's 1533-position model. The record is from RNAcentral.
GACGAACGCUGGCGGCGUGCUUAACACAUGCAAGUCGAACGGUGACAGAGAGCUUGCUCUCUUGAUCAGUGGCGAACGGGUGAGUAACACGUGAGCAACCUACCCUUGACUCUGGGAUAACAGUUGGAAACAGCUGCUAAUACCGGAUAUGACCUCGGCAGACAUCUGCCGGGGUGGAAAGCUCCGACGGUCAAGGAUGGGCUCGCGGCCUAUCAGCUUGUUGGUGAGGUAACGGCUCACCAAGGCGACGACGGGUAGCCGGCCUGAGAGGGCGACCGGCCACACUGGGACUGAGAUACGGCCCAGACUCCUACGGGAGGCAGCAGUGGGGAAUAUUGCACAAUGGGCGAAAGCCUGAUGCAGCAACGCCGCGUGCGGGAUGACGGCC